RNAcentral lists this unclassified non-coding RNA (324 nucleotides) under soil metagenome. RNAcentral describes it as "partial contains 5.8S ribosomal RNA, internal transcribed spacer 2, and large subunit ribosomal RNA". The stretch from base 1 to 120 matches the Rfam family "5.8S ribosomal RNA", at positions 35 to 154 of the family's 154-position model. The record is from RNAcentral.
GAUGAAGAACGUAGUGAAAUGCGAUAAGUAGUGUGAAUUGCAGAAUUCAGUGAAUCAUCGAAUCUUUGAACGCACAUUGCGCCCCUUGGUAUUCCAUGGGGCAUGCCUGUUCGAGCGUCAUUUGUACCUUCAAGCUUUGCUUGGUGUUGGGUGUUUGUCCCGAGGGACUCGCCUUAAAGUAAUUGGCAGCCAGUGUUUGGUUUUGAAGCGCAGCACAAGUCGCGAUUAAAGGCUACACGCCCGCUUCCACAAGCCUUUUUUCACUUUUGACCUCGGAUCAGGUAGGGAUACCCGCUGAACUUAAGCAUAUCAAUAAGCGGAGGA